This 465-nucleotide ribosomal RNA is filed under the name uncultured Dialister sp. RNAcentral describes it as "bacterial SSU rRNA". It matches the Rfam family "Bacterial small subunit ribosomal RNA", at positions 338 to 795 of the family's 1533-position model. The record is from RNAcentral. Lineage: Bacteria; Bacillati; Bacillota; Negativicutes; Veillonellales; Veillonellaceae.
CCUACGGGCGGCAGCAGUGGGGAAUCUUCCGCAAUGGGCGAAAGCCUGACGGAGCAACGCCGCGUGAGUGAUGACGGCCUUCGGGUUGUAAAACUCUGUGAUCCGGGACGAAAGGGCAGAGUGCGAAGAACAAACUGCAUUGACGGUACCGGAAAAGCAAGCCACGGCUAACUACGUGCCAGCAGCCGCGGUAAUACGUAGGUGGCAAGCGUUGUCCGGAAUUAUUGGGCGUAAAGCGCGCGCAGGCGGCUUCCCAAGUCCCUCUUAAAAGGGCGGGGCUUAACCCCGUGAUGGGAAGGAAACUGGGAAGCUGGAGUAGCGGAGAGGAAAGUGGAAUUCCUAGUGUAGCGGUGAAAUGCGUAGAGAUGAGGAAGAACACCGGUGGCGAAGGCGACUUUCUGGACGAAAACUGACGCUGAGGCGCGAAAGCGUGGGGAGCAAACAGGAUUAGAUACCCGAGUAGUC